AGAGUUUGAUCCUGGCUCAGGACGAACGCUGGCGGCGUGCUUAACACAUGCAAGUCGAACGCCUCGCCCUUAACUUACCUUCGGGUAGGAUAAGGAUUACNAGGAGUGGCGGACGGGUGAGUAACGCGUGGAGAACUUGUCCUUAAGUUAGGGAUAACCUGAUGAAAGUUGGGCUAAUCCUUAAUAGUCUGAUAGGAAGGCAUCUUCCAAUCAGUAAAGGUGUGUUUAUACACAUCGCUUUUGGAGAGCUCCGCGUCGGAUUAGCUAGCUGGUANAGUAAAAGCCUACCAGGGCAACAAUCCGUAGCUGGUCUGAGAGGACGAUCAGCCACACUGGAACUGAGACACGGUCCANACUCCUACGGGAGGCAGCAGUGGGGAAUCUUCCACAAUGGGCGAAAGCCUGAUGGAGCAACGCCGCGUGAGUGAANAAGGCCUUCGGGUUGUAAAGCUCUGUCCUUGGGGAANAACCGUAGUGAUAGCAAAUGCUCACUACCUGACGGUACCCAUGGAGGAAGCACUGGCUAACUACGUGCCAGCAGCCGCGGUAAUACGUAGAGUGCAAGCGUUGUCCGGAAUCAUUGGGCGUAAAGGGUACGCAGGCGGAUAUGCAAGUCAAAUGUGAAAACUACCGGCUUAACUGGUANACUGCGUUUGAAACUGUAUAUCUUGAGUGCAGCANAGGAGAGCGGAAUUUCUAGUGUAGUGGUGGAAUACGUAAAUAUUAGAAAGAACACCAGUGGCGAAGGCGGCUCUCUGGGCUGACACUGACGCUCAGGUACNAAAGCUGGAGGAGCGAACGGGAUUAAAUACCCCGGUAGUUCNGCUG
RNAcentral lists this ribosomal RNA (828 nucleotides) under uncultured bacterium. RNAcentral describes it as "bacterial SSU rRNA". It matches the Rfam family "Bacterial small subunit ribosomal RNA", at positions 8 to 802 of the family's 1533-position model. The record is from RNAcentral.